RNAcentral lists this ribosomal RNA (253 nucleotides) under uncultured bacterium. Its description in RNAcentral is "partial 16S ribosomal RNA". It matches the Rfam family "Bacterial small subunit ribosomal RNA", at positions 524 to 776 of the family's 1533-position model. The record is from RNAcentral.
UACGGAGGGUGCAAGCGUUAUUCGGAAUUACUGGGCGUAAAGCGCACGCAGGCGGUCUGUUAAGUCAGAUGUGAAAUCCCCGGGCUCAACCUGGGAACUGCAUCUGAGACUGGAAGGCUUGAGUCUCGGAGAGGGGGGUGGAAUUCCCGGUGUAGCGGUGAAAUGCGUAGAGAUCUGGAGGAAUACCGGUGGCGAAGGCGGCCCCCUGGACGAAGACUGACGCUCAGGUGCGAAAGCGUGGGGAGCAAACAGG